AGAGUUUGAUCAUGGCUCAGGACGAACGCUGGCGGCGUGCCUAAUACAUGCAAGUCGAGCGGACCUGAUGGAGUGCUUGCACUCCUGAUGGUUAGCGGCGGACGGGUGAGUAACACGUAGGCAACCUGCCCUCAAGACUGGGAUAACUACCGGAAACGGUAGCUAAUACCGGAUAAUUUAUUUUGCAGCAUUGUGGAAUAAUGAAAGGCGGAGCAAUCUGUCACUUGGGGAUGGGCCUGCGGCGCAUUAGCUAGUUGGUGGGGUAACGGCCCACCAAGGCGACGAUGCGUAGCCGACCUGAGAGGGUGAACGGCCACACUGGGACUGAGACACGGCCCAGACUCCUACGGGAGGCAGCAGUAGGGAAUCUUCCGCAAUGGGCGAAAGCCUGACGGAGCAACGCCGCGUGAGUGAUGAAGGUUUUCGGAUCGUAAAGCUCUGUUGCCAAGGAAGAACGUCUUCUAGAGUAACUGCUAGGAGAGUGACGGUACUUG
Molecule: ribosomal RNA, 494 nt
Filed under: Paenibacillus lautus
Lineage: Bacteria; Bacillati; Bacillota; Bacilli; Caryophanales; Paenibacillaceae
Description: bacterial SSU rRNA
Rfam family: Bacterial small subunit ribosomal RNA
Source: RNAcentral